RNAcentral lists this ribosomal RNA (418 nucleotides) under uncultured bacterium. Its description in RNAcentral is "bacterial SSU rRNA". It matches the Rfam family "Bacterial small subunit ribosomal RNA", at positions 331 to 766 of the family's 1533-position model. The record is from RNAcentral.
CCAGACUCCUACGGGAGGCAGCAGUGGGGAAUAUUGCACAAUGGGGGAAACCCUGAUGCAGCGACGCCGCGUGAGUGAAGAAGUAUUUCGGUAUGUAAAGCUCUAUCAGCAGGGAAGAAAAUGACGGUACCUGACUAAGAAGCCCCGGCUAACUACGUGCCAGCAGCCGCGGUAAUACGUAGGGGGCAAGCGUUAUCCGGAUUUACUGGGUGUAAAGGGAGCGUAGACGGCAGCGCAAGUCUGAAGUGAAAUCCCAUGGCUUAACCAUGGAACUGCUUUGGAAACUGUGCAGCUGGAGUGCAGGAGAGGUAAGCGGAAUUCCUAGUGUAGCGGUGAAAUGCGUAGAUAUUAGGAAGAACACCAGUGGCGAAGGCGGCUUGCUGGACAGUAACUGACGUUGAGGCUCGAAAGCGUGGGG